Molecule: long non-coding RNA, 559 nt
Filed under: Homo sapiens (human)
Lineage: Eukaryota; Metazoa; Chordata; Mammalia; Primates; Hominidae
Description: HSALNT0162946
Source: RNAcentral
UAAGGCAAUUAGUUAACUUGCAUGAAAACAUUUUCUAAUACAACUUUACAUUGUUGUUUUUAAACAGAUGAAACUAAAAUUUUAAGUUUAAUUACUGACUUCCAUUAAGUAGUAAUUUUAUGUGAAAUGUCUCAACCUUUGCUGGAUUAUGCAUAUGUCCUCCCAUUGCCACUCUACUACACUCCAUUGCUUUAAAAUUACUUUUAUAAAAUGACCUAGAUUUAGAGAAAUCAUUCACCCAGAAAAGAAUGCAUCACGGAACUCUGAAAUGUAGAGUAGGUUGAUCUUAGCGCACUGUUUAGAAUAAAACAGAAAGGUAUAGGCAAGAGUAACAGAUUUGGAUUUCAGUAUUGUGAAUUUUUGUUACAAAAAUAAAAUUACAAUUCAUAUUGAAUAUUGUAAAUAUCUCAGAAUUUAGAAAAACAAAUGGCUUUUUACAGAACAUUUUUUAUUAAAAACUGCUACAACCAUCCAAGCUAUGAACAAUAUGUGAAGACACGUUUCAUUCCCUAGAAUUAAGGUGAAAUCAAUAAUGUGGUGGCAGCAAGUAGCACAGAAG